UUCUUUCUCAAAAAAAAACCAUCAAAACUCUCUCAAUCCCUCUCCUUUUCUCCGGCCAAUUGGGCGCCAUCCGUCCGUCAUGGCCGCCGGCGGACGAUGGCGGUGACCACCGUGUACGGCGGCCGGGGUUAAAAAAGAGGUCAUUUCAACCGUUUUGACCUCCCUAAGCCCAUUUUGAAGCCGAAACUUCCAAUAACCAAACGAGGACACACAGACAAAUGAAGGACUUCUCGACUUCGGGCCACCAUUCAUCGGAGGUGGCUACCUCGGACAUCCUGACGGUGGAGCGCAACCCUCAGGUACGCUCCUUUUUGCCUUUUUCUUUUUAUUUUAUGCCUUUUUAUUAAAAUAGAUUUGUAAAAAAAAUAAAUAAAUAAAAAGAAAAAAGAAAACGAAGAGAAACUAAGAAAAGAUCUAAAUCAACACCUUUGUUAAACUUCUGUUCUGCUUUUUUUGAUUUACUAGUGUGUGUAAAAAAAGAGAAAAUAUAUAAUGAAAUCGUUUUGGCUUUUAUAGCCAAAUUACAAAACUCCUCAUUUCUAUUUUUUUGUCGUCUUGCUAUUGUCUCUACUAUCGUUUGCGUGUUCAUCUUUCUUUGUAGGAGAUUGCAGAGGCUGGUGAUGGCGGCAAAGGAGGGUCAGACGCGUGGAGGGGAGCGGCUGCGGCAACAAGGUCAGAAGACCUAGGUGCGGCGCACCUAGGGUUAGGGGGAUUAGGGUUUUCUGAUAAUUCUUAAGUUUUUGGGCUUAUCGGGCCUUUAGGUUUAUUUUUUAUUGGGCAUUUGGGCUUGUAAUUUUUUGGACUAUGGACUGUUUAAUUUUUUUGGGGGUUUUAUUUAUUUAGUUUUGGGCCCGGGCAAAAAUGGGCUUGUACAUUAAUAAUAUAUAAAUCUUAAAUAAAUAUUUAAAUCACAUAUUCUUCCACCCUCCAUUGUUAUAAUAAUGUUUUGC
Molecule: long non-coding RNA, 950 nt
Filed under: Gossypium raimondii (Peruvian cotton)
Lineage: Eukaryota; Viridiplantae; Streptophyta; Magnoliopsida; Malvales; Malvaceae
Description: long non-coding RNA (GRAI_LNC005911)
Source: RNAcentral